CAGCCAAGUCAAACUUCAUGCAGCAGA
RNAcentral lists this non-coding RNA (27 nucleotides) under Homo sapiens (human). The record is from RNAcentral. Lineage: Eukaryota; Metazoa; Chordata; Mammalia; Primates; Hominidae.